Molecule: ribosomal RNA, 344 nt
Filed under: uncultured bacterium
Lineage: Bacteria
Description: bacterial SSU rRNA
Rfam family: Bacterial small subunit ribosomal RNA
Source: RNAcentral
GAUGAACGCUAGCGGCAGGCUUAACACAUGCAAGUCGAGGGGUAGAAGGAGCUUGCUCCUUUGAGACCGGCGCACGGGUGCGUAACGCGUAUGUAAUCUACCUUUUGCAGAGGGAUAGCCCAGAGAAAUUUGGAUUAAUACCUCAUAGUAUGUGAGGAUGGCAUCAUUUUCGCAUUAAAGUCACAACGGCAAAAGAUGAGCAUGCGUCCCAUUAGCUAGUUGGUAAGGUAACGGCUUACCAAGGCUACGAUGGGUAGGGGUCCUGAGAGGGAGAUCCCCCACACUGGUACUGAGACACGGACCAGACUCCUACGGGAGGGCAGCAGUGAGGAAUAUUGGACAAU